Long non-coding RNA from Coregonus clupeaformis (lake whitefish), 778 nucleotides. RefSeq lists it as uncharacterized. The record is from RefSeq and is a predicted model, not a curated record. The transcript is spliced from 3 exons. NCBI's taxonomy places the organism in Eukaryota, Metazoa, Chordata, Actinopteri, Salmoniformes, Salmonidae.
CCAUGUGGUGGUCUCUGAUAGAGGUGAAUAUAGUGGCACCAUGUGGUGGUCUCUGAUAGAGGUGUAUAUAGUGGCACCAUGUGGUGGUCUCUGAUAGAGGUGUAUAUAGUGGCACCAUGUGGUGGUCUCUGAUAGAGGUGUAUAUAGUGGCACCAUGUGGUGGUCUCUGAUAGAGGUGUGUAUAUAUAGUGGCACCAUGUGGUGGUCUCUGAUAGAGGUGUAUAUAGUGGCACCAUGUGGUGGUCUCUGAUAGAGGUGUAUAUAGUGGCACCAUGUGGUGGUCUCUGAUAGAGGUGUAUAUAUAGUGGCACCAUGUGGUGGUCUCUGAUAGAGGUGUAUAUAGUGGCACCAUGUGGUGGUCUCUGAUAGAGGUGUAUAUAGUGGCACCAUGUGGUGGUCUCUGAUAGAGGUGUAUAUAUAGUGGCACCAUGUGGUGGUCUCUGAUAGAGGUGAAUAUAGCAGCACCAUGUGGUGGCCUCUGAUAGAGGUGAAUAUAGUGGCACCAUGUGGUGGUCUCUGAUAGAGGUGUAUAUAGUGGCACCAUGUGGUGGUCUCUGAUAGAGGUGUAUAUAGUGGCACCAUGUGGUGGUCUCUGAUAGAGGUGUAUAUAGUGGCACCAUGUGGUGGUCUCUGAUAGAGGUGUGUAUAUAUAGUGGCACCAUGUGGUGGUCUCUGAUAGAGGUGUAUAUAGUGGCACCAUGUGGUGGUCUCUGAUAGAGGUGUAUAUAGUGGCACCAUGUGGUGGUCUCUGAUAGAGGUGUAUAUAUAGUGGCACCAU